GCUCCUGUAGCUCAAUUAUCAGAGCGCAGCCCUCCGAAGGCUGAGGUUGCCGGUGAGAUUCCGGCUGGGAGCACCA
This 76-nucleotide transfer RNA is filed under the name Verrucomicrobiota bacterium. RNAcentral describes it as "Verrucomicrobia bacterium tRNA-Arg". It matches the Rfam family "tRNA". Rfam says of the family: Transfer RNA (tRNA) molecules are approximately 80 nucleotides in length. Their secondary structure includes four short double-helical elements and three loops (D, anti-codon, and T loops). RNAcentral also lists the same sequence under 1 other name. The record is from RNAcentral. Lineage: Bacteria; Pseudomonadati; Verrucomicrobiota.